UGACAGCUGCCAGGAAGGAGGAACU
This 25-nucleotide non-coding RNA is filed under the name Mus musculus (house mouse). Lineage: Eukaryota; Metazoa; Chordata; Mammalia; Rodentia; Muridae. The record is from RNAcentral.